RNAcentral lists this ribosomal RNA (1034 nucleotides) under uncultured bacterium. RNAcentral describes it as "bacterial SSU rRNA". It matches the Rfam family "Bacterial small subunit ribosomal RNA", at positions 45 to 1075 of the family's 1533-position model. The record is from RNAcentral.
GGCUGCUACCAUGCAGUCGAGCGAGAAAGGGGGCUUCGGUCCCUGAGUAGAGCGGCGCAGGGUGAGUAACGCGUGGAUAAUCUACCCAUAAGCCUGGGAUAACAGCGAGAAAUUGUUGCUAAUACCGGAUAAGCUCACAUGUUGUGGGGACAUGUGGGAAAAGGCGGCCUCUGGAACAAGCUGCCGUUUAUGGAUGAGUCCGCGUCCCAUUAGCUAGUUGGUGGGGUAAAGGCUUACCAAGGCGACGAUGGGUAGCCGGCCUGAGAGGGUGGCCGGCCACACUGGAACUGGAACACGGUCCAGACUCCUACGGGAGGCAGCAGUGGGGAAUAUUGCGCAAUGGGCGAAAGCCUGACGCAGCAACGCCGCGUGAGGGAAGAAGGUCUUCGGAUCGUAAACCUCUGUCGGGAGGGAAGAACGGCCUGAAGUCGAACAGGCUUUGGGAUUGACGGUACCUCCAAAGGAAGCACCGGCUAACUCCGUGCCAGCAGCCGCGGUAAUACGGAGGGUGCAAGCGUUAUUCGGAAUUACUGGGCGUAAAGGGCGUGUAGGCGGCCCUGCAAGUCAGAUGUGAAAGCCCACGGCUUAACCGUGGAACUGCAUUUGAAACUGCCGGGCUUGGAGUGUGGGAGAGGGUAGCGGAAUUCCCGGUGUAGGAGUGAAAUCCGUAGAUAUCGGGAGGAACACCAGUGGCGAAGGCGGCUACCUGGACCAUAACUGACGCUGAGACGCGAAAGCGUGGGGAGCAAACAGGAUUAGAUACCCUGGUAGUCCACGCUGUAAACGAUGGAUGCUAGGUGUUGGGGGGCAACCCUCAGUGCCGCAGUUAACGCGUUAAGCAUCCCGCCUGGGGGAGUACGGUCGCAAGGCUGAACUCAAGGAAUGACGGGGCCCGCACAAGCGGUGGAGUAUGGUGGUUUAAUCGAUGCAACGCGAGACUACUGGGUUGACAUCUCGAUCUCAGAGAUGAGGGAGUGCCUCGGGAGCGGAGAGACAGGUGCUGCAUGCUGUCGUCAGCUCAUGCGUGAGGGUGU